GACGAACGCUGGCGGCGUGCUUAACACAUGCAAGUCGUACGGUAAGGCCCUUUCGGGGGUACACGAGUGGCGAACGGGUGAGUAACACGUGAGUAACCUGCCCACAACUUUGGGAUAACGCUAGGAAACUGGUGCUAAUACUGGAUAUGUGCUCCUGCUGCAUGGUGGGGGUUGGAAAGCUCCGGCGGUUGUGGAUGGACUCGCGGCCUAUCAGCUUGUUGGUGGAGUAGUGGCCUACCAAGGCGGCGACGGGUAGCCGGCCUGAGAGGGUGACCGGCGACAUUGGGACUGAGAUACGGCCCAGACUCCUACGGGAGGCAGCAGGGGGGAAUCUUGCACAAGGGGCGCCAGCCUGAUGCAGCAACGCCGCGGGCGGGAUGACGGCCUUCGGGUUGUAAACCGCUUUCAGCAGGGACGAAGCUUUUUGUGACGGUACCUGCAGAAGAAGCACCGGCUAACUACGUG
This 465-nucleotide ribosomal RNA is filed under the name uncultured bacterium. RNAcentral describes it as "partial 16S ribosomal RNA". It matches the Rfam family "Bacterial small subunit ribosomal RNA", at positions 28 to 507 of the family's 1533-position model. The record is from RNAcentral.